Long non-coding RNA from Sinocyclocheilus anshuiensis, 84 nucleotides. RefSeq lists it as uncharacterized. The transcript has 3 exons. NCBI's taxonomy places the organism in Eukaryota, Metazoa, Chordata, Actinopteri, Cypriniformes, Cyprinidae. The record is from RefSeq and is a predicted model, not a curated record.
AACGAACGACUCAAACUCGAAGACUUGAGAGAUGAACUAUUCAAUUCUCUUUCCGGCUCAGACUGCAUUGGUUAAGCUUAUGGG